Molecule: long non-coding RNA, 677 nt
Organism: Ictalurus punctatus (channel catfish)
Lineage: Eukaryota; Metazoa; Chordata; Actinopteri; Siluriformes; Ictaluridae
Source: Ensembl
GUGAGAAAGGUGAGGAGUGUGUGAGACAGGUGAGGAGUGUGUGAGACAGGUGAGGUGUGUGUGAGACAGGUGAGGUGUGUGAGAGACAGGUGAGGUGUGUGUGAGACAGGUACAGGGUGAGACAGGUGAGGUGUGUGUGAGACAGGUGAGGUGUGUGUGAGACAGGUACAGGGUGAGACAGGUGAGGUGUGUGUGAGACAGGUGAGGUGUGUGUGAGACAGGUACAGGGUGAGACAGGUGAGGUGUGUGUGAGACAGGUGCAGGGUGAGACAGGUGAGGUGUGUGUGAGACCGGUACAGGGUGCGACAGGUGAGGAGUGUGUGAGACAGGUGAGGUGUGUGUGAGACAGGUGAGGUGUGUGUGAGACAGGUACAGGGUGAGACAGGUGAGGUGUGUGUGAGACAGGUGAGGAGUGUGUGAGACAGGUACAGGGUGAGACAGGUGAGGAGUGUGUGAGACAGGUGAGGAGUGUGUGAGACAGGUGAGGAGUGUGUGAGACAGGUGAGGUGUGUGUGAGACAGGUGAGGGGUGUGUGAGACAGGUGAGGAGUGUGAGACAGGUGAGGAGUGUGUGAGACAGGUGAGAAGUGUGUGAGACAGGUGAGGAGUGUGAGACAGGUGAGGAGUGUGAGACAGGUGAGGAGUGUGUGAGACAGGUGAGCUGAUGUAAAUCUGCAG